UACGUAGGGGGCAAGCGUUGUCCGGAUUUAUUGGGCGUAAAGAGCGUGUAGGCGGCCACACAGGUCAGCUGUGAAAACUCGAGGCUCAACCUCGAGACGUCGGUUGAAACCGUAUGGCUAGAGUCCGGAAGAGGAGAGUGGAAUUCCCGGUGUAGCGGUGAAAUGCGCAGAUAUCGGGAAGAACACCCGUGGCGAAGGCGGCUCUCUGGGACGGUACUGACGCUGAGAGACGAAAGCUAGGGGAGCGAAUGGG
Molecule: ribosomal RNA, 253 nt
Filed under: uncultured bacterium
Lineage: Bacteria
Description: partial 16S ribosomal RNA
Rfam family: Bacterial small subunit ribosomal RNA
Source: RNAcentral